RNAcentral lists this ribosomal RNA (473 nucleotides) under uncultured Thermus sp. RNAcentral describes it as "bacterial SSU rRNA". It matches the Rfam family "Bacterial small subunit ribosomal RNA", at positions 916 to 1381 of the family's 1533-position model. Lineage: Bacteria; Thermotogati; Deinococcota; Deinococci; Thermales; Thermaceae. The record is from RNAcentral.
ACGGGGCUCGCACAAGCGGUGGAGCAUGUGGUUUAAUCGAAGCAACGCGAAGAACCUUACCAGGUCUUGACACUCCCCUGAACAACCCAAGAGAUUGGGCGUUCCCCCUUCGGGGGGACAGGGUGACAGGUGGUGCAUGGUUGUCGUCAGCUCGUGUCGUGAGAUGUUGGGUUAAGUCCCGCAACGAGCGCAACCCUCGCCUCUAGUUGCCAGCGGUUCGGCCGGGCACUCUAACGGGACUGCCCGCGAAAGCGGGAGGAAGGAGGGGACGACGUCUGGUCAGCAUGGCCCUUACGGCCUGGGCGACACACGUGCUACAAUGCCCACUACAAAGCGAUGCCACCCGGCAACGGGGAGCUAAUCGCAAAAAGGUGGGCCCAGUUCGGAUUGGGGUCUGCAACCCGACCCCAUGAAGCCGGAAUCGCUAGUAAUCGCGGAUCAGCCAUGCCGCGGUGAAUACGUUCCCGGGCCUU